This is a non-coding RNA of Picea glauca (white spruce), 1490 nucleotides long. Lineage: Eukaryota; Viridiplantae; Streptophyta; Pinopsida; Pinales; Pinaceae. The record is from Rfam.
CUUAUGGAGAGUUUGAUCCUGGCUCAAGAUGAACGUUGGCGGCAUGCUUAACACAUGCAAUUUGGACAGGAAGUGGUGUUUCCAGUGGCGGAUGGGUGAGUAACACGUAAGAAACUGCCCUUGGGAGGGGAACAACAACUGGAAAUGACUGCUAAUACCCCAUAGGCUGAGGAGAAAAAGGAGGAAUCCACCCAAGGAGGGGCUCAUGUUCGAUUAGUUAGUUGGUGAGGCAAUGGCUUACCAAGGAGACGAUCAACAGCUAGUCUGAGAGGAUGAUCAACCACACUGGGAAUGAGACACGACCCAAACUCCUACGAGAGGCAGCAGUGGGGAAUUUUAUGCAAUGGGUGAAAGCCCGACGGAGCAAUGUCGCGUGAAGGUAGAAGGCCCAUGGGUCAUGAACUUAUUUUCUCGAAGAAGAAGCAAUGACGGUAUCUGAGGAAUAAGCAUCGACUAACUUUGUGCCAAUAGCUGCGAUAAGACAGAGGAUGCAAGCAUUAUCCAAAAUGAUUGGGCAUAAAGCAUCUAUAGGUGGCUUUUCAAGUCCGUCGUCAAAUCCCAGGGCUCAACCCUAGACAGGCGGUGGAAACUACAAGGCUGGAGUAUGAUAGGGGCAGAGGGAAUUUCUGGUGGAGCGGUGAAAUGCGUUGAGAUUGGAAAGAACACCAACGACGAAAGCACUAUGUUGGGCCGACACUGGCACUGAGAGACAAAAUCUAGGGGAGAAAAUGGGAGUAGAUACCCUAGUAGUCCUAUCCAUAAACAAUGGAUACUAAGUGUUGUGUGUAUCGACCCGCACAAUUUUGUAGCUAAUGCAUUAAGUAUCUCGCCCGGAGAGUACGUUCGCAAGAAUGAAACUCAAACGAAUUGACGGGGGCCCGCACAAGCGGUGGAGCAUAUGGUUAAAUUUGAUGCAAAGUGAAUAACCUUACCAGGGCUUGACAUGCCAUGAAUCCUCCCAAAAGGGAGGAGAGCCUUCGGGAACAUGGACACAGGUUGUGCAUGGAUGUCGUCAGCUCAUGCCGUAAGGUGUUGGGUUAAGUCCCGCAACGAGAACAACCCUCAUGUUUAGUUGCCAGCAUUGAGUUUGGAACCCUGAACAGAUUGUCGGUGAUAAGUCAGAGGAAGGUGAGGAUGAUGUCAAGUCAUCAUGCCACUUACGCCCUGGGUGACACGCUUGCUACAAUGACCAGGACAAAGGGUCGUGACCCUGUAAGGGAAAAUUAGCCUCAAAAACUCGGCCUUAGUUUGGAUCGCAGGAUGCAACUUGCCUGCAUGAAGACAAAAUCGCUAGUAAUCAUCGGUCAACCAUACGACGGUGAAUCCGUUCCUAGGCCUUGUACACACUGCUCGACACACUAUGGGAGCUGGCCAUGCCCCAAUUCGUUUCCUUAAUUGCAAGGAGGGGGAUGUCGAAGGCUGGGCUAGUGAAUGGAGUGAAGUCGCAACAAGGUAGUUGUAUUGGAAGGUGUGGCUUGAUCACCUCCUUU